AAUAAAAUUUGCAGUAAGGAAGAAACCUGACCUGGGUUGGGGCGACGAUCAGAUGCAAAUAGCGCGAAUCGGGUCUGAGCAUAGCAACUCGGUGGACUUGAUAUCAGCAACUUGGGGGCCAGAGCUGAUUGAGGCCUGUGCUUGCCGAAGAUGUUCCAGCUGAGAUGAUGCUGGGAAGAAGGUCACGGUGUUGCAGGGUCCGGUGGUGGUGGUCGGAGCAACUGUUGGCAGGGAGGAGCUGAUGCAGGACGGUUGGAGCGGUCUGCGGUGAUGACUGUCAGAGCUGACAGUGGCGGUGCAGUAGUCGACGGCAGCGACGGCAACGCGGCGGCGCGGCGGUGGGAGCAACCCGGCGGCGCGGCGGUGCGGCAGUAACUAGCAGCGGCAAGCGGCGGUACGGAGGAGGCGUGAGCGGCGCGCGGCGCGGUGGAGCGAGCAGCGAAGAUGGCAGCGGCGGUGGGACAAGGGCGGUGGCGCAGAGAGCAGUGGAAGGCCGCGGGA
This 501-nucleotide long non-coding RNA is filed under the name Phoenix dactylifera (date palm). Its description in RNAcentral is "long non-coding RNA (PDAC_LNC022347)". Lineage: Eukaryota; Viridiplantae; Streptophyta; Magnoliopsida; Arecales; Arecaceae. The record is from RNAcentral.